RNAcentral lists this ribosomal RNA (441 nucleotides) under uncultured bacterium. RNAcentral's name for it is "bacterial SSU rRNA". It matches the Rfam family "Bacterial small subunit ribosomal RNA", at positions 337 to 794 of the family's 1533-position model. The record is from RNAcentral.
GCCUACGGGAGGCAGCAGUGGGGAAUAUUGGACAAUGGGCGCAAGCCUGAUCCAGCAAUGCCGCGUGAGUGAUGAAGGCCUUAGGGUUGUAAAGCUCUUUCACACGCGACGAUGAUGACGGUAGCGUGAGAAGAAGCCCCGGCUAACUCCGUGCCAGCAGCCGCGGUAAUACGGAGGGGGCAAGCGUUGUUCGGAAUUACUGGGCGUAAAGGGCGCGCAGGCGGCUGCUCAAGUCAGGCGUGAAAGGCCUGGGCUCAACCCGGGAAUUGCGCUUGAGACUGGGCUGGCUUGAGUGCGGGAGAGGAUGGUGGAAUUCCCAGUGUAGAGGUGAAAUUCGUAGAUAUUGGGAAGAACACCGGUGGCGAAGGCGGCCAUCUGGACCGCAACUGACGCUGAGGCGCGAAAGCGUGGGGAGCAAACAGGAUUAGAUACCCCGGUAGG